Molecule: non-coding RNA, 98 nt
Organism: Mycena latifolia
Lineage: Eukaryota; Fungi; Basidiomycota; Agaricomycetes; Agaricales; Mycenaceae
Source: the annotation of a GenBank genome assembly
GACCUGGUGGUGAAAUGAAUCAUACCUGCAAUUGGUGCGGCACUGUGCGAUCUUGUAGAUGCAGGCGGGAGGUCCCGGUUCAAUUCCGGGCUGGGUCA